GAUGAACGCUGGCGGCGUGCCUAAUACAUGCAAGUAGAACGCUGAAGGAGGAGCUUGCUCUUCUGGAUGAGUUGCGAACGGGUGAGUAACGCGUAGGUAACCUGCCUGGUAGCGGGGGAUAACUAUUGGAAACGAUAGCUAAUACCGCAUGACAACAGUUAUUGCAUGAUAACUGUUUAAAAGGGGCAACUGCUCCACUACCAGAUGGACCUGCGUUGUAUUAGCUAGUUGGUGAGGUAACGGCUCACCAAGGCGACGGUACAUAGCCGACCUGAGAGGGUGAUCGGCCACACUGGGACUGAGACACGGCCCAGACUCCUACGGGAGGCAGCAGUAGGGAAUCUUCGGCAAUGGACGGAAGUCUGACCGAGCAACGCCGCGUGAGUGAAGAAGGUUUUCGGAUCGUAAAGCUCUGUUGUAAGAGAAGAACGAGUGUGAGAGUGGAAAGUUCACACUGUGACGGUAUCUUACCAGAAAGGGACGGCUAACUACGUG
Molecule: ribosomal RNA, 495 nt
Filed under: uncultured bacterium
Lineage: Bacteria
Description: partial 16S ribosomal RNA
Rfam family: Bacterial small subunit ribosomal RNA
Source: RNAcentral